Non-coding RNA from Solanum lycopersicum (tomato), 836 nucleotides. The record is from RefSeq and is a predicted model, not a curated record. NCBI's taxonomy places the organism in Eukaryota, Viridiplantae, Streptophyta, Magnoliopsida, Solanales, Solanaceae.
CAAAACUCAUAUUUUUAACUUAUCAUGAUUUCAGGUGUAUCUUUCAAAUUGAUCUUACUGACGGUACUGCUACAGUCACAGCAUCUAUCUCUGGUGAACUGGGAGAAAAACUACUCUCCUUGACAGCGGAAGACAUAUUUGACAUAACCUGUGCUAAGAGGCAAUCAUUUCAUGUUAAUCAUGUCCAUGAGAUGUUGUCCAACAAACAAUUUUAAAUUCAGCUAAGGAAGUCAUCUUGGGGUACCUCAAACAAUACACAAGCAACUUACUCCAUUAUUUCCUACAUGGAAAAGCAACAUACUUCUCCAACCACUAUUGAUAGGAAUUCCAAAAAGAUAAGACCUUUGGAGAUAAGUGAGAUGGAGGUGACAGAAACAGCUACUGCAGCUGGUUCUUCAAAUGCAACUCUGAAAUUUGAACCACCUACACCAACAAAAAAAGCUGUAAAAGGAACUUCCUCACUUGAUUUUGUGUCUUUUGCUUAAUGAAGUUUUUGGAUUCCCAGUCGAUUCAACUUUGCUCAAUAGGGAGAAUGAAAUGAAUCAGUUAACUUUUUGUCCACGAAAUGAAUCAGUUAACUUUUUGUGCAGCCUUCAUUAUUUAGCUUUGCUGGAACCCUUAACAACUCCCUAUGCUAUGGUUUUGGGAAUGAUGAAGAAGAUCAGCAACUGAAAUUGAACAGCAGCAUCCUCUACAUAUAUGAUAUGAUAAACAAUCACAUGUUGAUCUCAUAUGUCAAAAAAAUAUUUUAAUUUUAUUACCUUAGUUAAUAUGGUAUCAGUUGUACAUAUAUUUUGAAUAUCUCUAAUACUAUAUAACAUUAUCAAAUUAUCUUA